UGUAUUGAGAAUACACAAGUCACGUUGAACAGAAGGGAGAAAAUGCCCAUACCUCACUGCAGGCUAGCAAGAUCACAGCAGUCAUGUAGAUAUGGAAGAGCUGUAGUGGCAUCUUGAACCUCUGCGCCUGAAACACUUGUGGAGUGUCUUAUCUUCAGGCAAAUGCUUCCUUACCUUUGGUCUGAACAGGACUGCGCCCCAGGUUCCAGAAGCAGUAUAGGCAGAGACUUCAAUGUAACACAUGUCAGAAGAAGGUAUUCAUGGAUGAUGGCCUGGGGAACAAACAAACACAGAAGCACUCCUUGAGUUUCUUCUCCCAUAGGAGAGGCUGUGGGAUUAUUUGUGUGCGCUAAACCUGGUAGAGUGGAGCUACAUCCCGAUUUCCAGCCUGUGCAAUCCGUAUUGCCAAACAUCAAAGCUGGUGGAGCUCUGCCAAGCCUGGCCCAGUUGCCCUGUCCACCUGGUGACAUUCUUCAUAGGAAUCCUGCUAUGCGGGAAUAUACUUUAAAAUGGUUAAUUAUGUUUGGAAUUAUUGUGUAAGUGAAAAAUGUGUCUUAUUUCCAUUACUGUCGAACACAUGCUGUUAGGGGCUUCCAGUUCAUUGCGAUUCUGGGACUGAGUCUAGAUUAAGCAGGUGCAGAAAAU
Molecule: long non-coding RNA, 645 nt
Filed under: Numida meleagris (helmeted guineafowl)
Lineage: Eukaryota; Metazoa; Chordata; Aves; Galliformes; Numididae
Description: lncRNA (ENSNMEG00000015981.1)
Source: RNAcentral